GGAUAUUAGGUUUAGAUAAACCAAUUGAGGCAUCAACAAGAGAGUUAAGACCAUGUUUCAAUGGUUCUCUAAAUUAGUCUUCAGUUCCUGAUUUGGUUUGGGACAUGCCUUAUUAGGCAACUGUUAUUUUAUUGCAUGGUGUUGUAAAUUUAUAAACAGCUGUAAUUUUUUGGGUUUUUAUUCUUAAAAAAAAAUACAUUUGUUGGUUUUUUAUGUGAUCAAGUUUUGGCUUUACAGUUA
Molecule: long non-coding RNA, 240 nt
Organism: Telopea speciosissima
Lineage: Eukaryota; Viridiplantae; Streptophyta; Magnoliopsida; Proteales; Proteaceae
Exons: 2
Source: RefSeq, a predicted model, not a curated record